UGGCUCUUCAAGUCACCUCAGUUCAUCGUAUCAUUGUUUACAUUGGACUAAUUGCGUUGUUAAUGUGUGAGUCCAUUUUAAAUGCUGACUAGAAUGGCAACAACCUAACUUAUUUUUUGUUAUUUUAGUGGAGGCGAUUGUUAAGAGGAAUUUUGUUCCUAUGUGUUCAUUAACCAAUGCGAUUAAUACAUUCUGUCUGUUUCUAAGAAUUUGUAAGGUUCUAAUUUAAAUGAAACGGACAGAGAUCAGUCAACUUCUUGAAGACUGGGAAAAGCAAUGUAGGUUGGAUCUCGUCACUACCUCUGUCGUGUACCAGUUCACCACUGGCCUGAAAUAAACCCUCAAUUCAGAGGUCAGGUCUUUGCCUUACGGAUCCUGGAUCCACCCGUGCACGGUUUUCAGCGGUUCCUCGGGACGACAGAGGUAUCGAAGGACCAAUUGAUAAGAUAGUUAUGUUCUCCAGGUACCCAAUUUAAUUAUAUUACUCUCAGUCUGCAAACCAUAAUUUGUAAGAUCCUGGUCGAAUGAAACAGACGGAGGCCCAGCUAAAACAGUCAAAAAAGGUUUAUUAACGGGAACAUUCUAAAGUCAAGAAUACGAAUCAAUUCAUUUUAUACUGACUUCUCACGCCCACACAUUCACACAGCCAUACACACACACACACACACACACAAACAGACGCACAUACACACAUACCCACACACACACGCACACAAACAGAAGCACACACAUGUCCUGCUACGCACACACUGUCUCACCACCCAGCCGACAGAGAUAAUGACCUUGUCCUUGAGAUGUACACCCUGUUCUCUCCCAAAUCUCUAGUCAGGUCGGCACCAAGCUCAGACAGUCUGUGUUUAUAAUACCAUAAAGACAUAUUGUUUCACCCUGAUUCUGACUAGGACUACACAUUUAUUGAUUAUGAUUUCAUACAUUCUAAUCAAUUCCAUACAAUUAUAUGUUUCAGGGCGGAACAUUCUAAUCAUUCAAUUAACAGACAAUUCUCACCUAUCAGUGAUGAAGAAGGUGGAAGAGAUCAAACAGAAACAACAGGCAAAGUUUAUCAUGAACCGGCUGAAGAAGGGCAAACAGUUGGAGAAGGAAGAGGCCAUAAGCGAAGUGAAGAAGAAUAUUCACCUCAUCAAAGCACCUCAUGCAGGCCAAGCCAAACAGCUGGAAGAGAAGAUGUGGAAAUGGGUAAUGAUUAACGUGUUGCUUUCGAUGUGGUUGGUUUCAACAACUCAUAUUUCUGUUUGCUGUGUUUGAAAUGUAACUGUUCCAAAGACAAGUGGUGUCAGUCUUCAAAGCAUACUGUGUAUAAUACAGAGGACAUGUGUUUUUAAAGACAUUGGAUACAUAAAAGGAAUUGAUGUAUCCUGCCAAGUGAAAUAGGUUUCGGAUGUUCUUAUACAUUCCAUCUUAUGCAUUCCAUCUUAUGCAUUCCAGCUUAUACAUUCCAUCUUAUGCAUUCCGUCUUAUGCAUUCCGUCUUAUACAUUCUUAUACAUUCUUAUACAUUCAUCUUGGAUAUGACCAAAACCUGUAGUUUUUCCAUUUAGGCCAAAAAGUUAAUGUUUUUGCUGUGUUAUCUUGCAGUAUUACUUAACAGUCUCGUUGCAAACCAAAUGGAUGGUUUGGAGUGGAUUUUUUUAAAACACAUGCUUCCUUCUUUUCUCUUUGUCAUAAAGGCCAGCAAUGUGAAGUGAAUACAAUGUUGUUGAUCCCUUUGUAUUUUUAAAGUAUUGUGGUGGCAGCAUCAUGUUAUGGGUAG
This is a non-coding RNA of Oncorhynchus mykiss (rainbow trout), 1770 nucleotides long. NCBI's taxonomy places the organism in Eukaryota, Metazoa, Chordata, Actinopteri, Salmoniformes, Salmonidae. The record is from RefSeq and is a predicted model, not a curated record.